CGGGAUGUCGUAUAGUGGUAGUACGCAUGGCUGGGGGUCAUGUAGUCCGAGUUCGAUUCUCGGCAUCCCGA
Molecule: transfer RNA, 71 nt
Filed under: Candidatus Kaiserbacteria bacterium
Lineage: Bacteria; Candidatus Kaiseribacteriota
Description: tRNA-Pro
Rfam family: tRNA
About the family: Transfer RNA (tRNA) molecules are approximately 80 nucleotides in length.
Source: RNAcentral